This is a long non-coding RNA of Eptesicus fuscus (big brown bat), 419 nucleotides long. RefSeq lists it as uncharacterized. The transcript has 2 exons. The record is from RefSeq and is a predicted model, not a curated record. Lineage: Eukaryota; Metazoa; Chordata; Mammalia; Chiroptera; Vespertilionidae.
GUCAGCUAGCCCAUGUCACAGUCAGCUUGUCCAUGUCACAGUCAGCUUGCUCAGUGGCAGAGCCAGACCUCAAGCCCAGGUCAGCCACCCACAUUCUGCUCAGCAGACACAAAAAGAAGCCUUCCCUCCUCCUAUGCCAGCUGUGAAGCUCCCUGACCACCUGGACCCCCUUGGAGGCAUCUGCUGCCCUGGAAAUCUGCCGGGGCUUCUCUCGGUCCCGCUGGGCCUGUGACCCUAGCACCACAGCCAUGGAUGCCCAGAGGCAAAGGGGUCUCUUCAACCUGGGAGCGGCCUCCCAUCUCCAAGCCCCAGUCCCUCCUCCGGACGGACGUGGGUUUAAUGGCGUCUAGCCAGGACUCAGAGGGGUGCGGUAAGACAGUGGCAUGAAAGCAUCUGAAAAUAAAAAUGUGCUAACUCUG